Molecule: RNA transcript, 1999 nt
Organism: Triticum dicoccoides
Lineage: Eukaryota; Viridiplantae; Streptophyta; Magnoliopsida; Poales; Poaceae
Exons: 3
Source: RefSeq, a predicted model, not a curated record
UCCUGCAUUUAGUGGCAGGAUUUAUAGAGGCAGCGAUGGUUACUCCUCCUGUUGCUCGGUUUGGUCGGGGCCGGCGGGGCGUCCUCCAGGGAUCCGGCGGCUGUUAUCGCCCGUGUGCGUAAUGGCUGCGGUCGUUUCCCUCCCGCGGAUCAUCCCACAGUAAUGGAAGAGGUUGUUGUCCGCGAUGAAUUGCCUGUUGUUCAUUUAAGGUGUCGUUGCCGCCGUGCGGUUCGCCGGCCGUUGCGUUCUGGACGGGUUGGUAAGUUCAUUCAGCCUACUCGAGUAUUUGCAAGCUUAUUUAGUAUGUUUACGUAUUGGUUUACUCGGAGUGUGGUCGCUUCAUUUGGUUGCUUUUUUUUGUACAUGGUCAACGUUUGGUUCCCCAUCGGCGGUCUUGAUCGCCGCCGUCAAGAGAUUUCUUUAGGGAAGUGGCCUGUUGACUCUACUUAAGGCAAGUGCGUUGGCUUCUUGUUAUGCAUGCGACUGUCUCUGUCUGCUUGCGUACGUUUCUUUUUCUGCCUUGCUUACUACACUCGCUUCUUUCUUCUCUUCCUUUUUGUGAAGGCUACACUCUUACUGCUGAUUGUUCUUGUGCAUUUGAUGGUCUCAUGCCUGCUGCUCCGCUCGCCGGCGUGGGAUCUGCUUCCUCGGUGGCCCAGACGAUUCAUGGGUCGUCUGGUUAUCCUUUUUCUCUUCCUGCUGAUGUUCACCUUGAUCAUCGCUUGGUGGGUGCUCCGUCUGUUGUUAAUCGUUCCAAGGGUGUGCCUUUGCGUGUGGCCGGUGCUUUCGGUCGGCCUACUCCUCUUGGGUUUGCCAUCUCCGAUUCGCUUCGCCACACGAAGCGGUGUUCUUCUUUCUUGGUGGGUAGGUCAUGGUGGUUCUUGCCGAAGUGGUGUCUGCCGCCGGGGCCGUCCAUACCUCGUCGGAGCCCCAACUGCCAGGAUGCAAUUCAUCUCUCGGCGCCAGUACAAUCUCCCCUACGCGGCCGAGUUGGCGGCGCACGCAUGAGAUAUCACCGACUACUGGUGGGAGCCAUCACCGACGACUUGCAAGAGGUGCAUGCGGAGGGCCUGAUAUGGUGGGGUUCAGUGCAGCAAUCUGGCCGAUGCUACUAUCCUUAGCCGUUGGUCGCUGACUCUGCCACAAACCCCUACGCCACCGCAAACAUGCCCAUGGCCGUCCCCGUUGGUGACGACUUCUCGUGGUUUGGGUAGGGCAGCGGAGGCUACGAUAGGAGGGUUAGAGGUGGCGGUGGCGGUUGAGAGGCUAAAUCCAGGUUAAUGUCACGUCGCUCAAUCCAUCUAUUUUUUCCGCGCUGGUGGCUUCCGCUCUGGUGGUAGAGGAAGCAGGAAAGGGAGGGAUGGUUUGGGCCGGGCAUGCCUUAUAAUGUAUCUGUGUAGAUUAUGAUAUUUCCAUCAAUGACCAAAAUUACUAUGCUCUUGAAGUUACAAAGGAAAGACUGUUCACGGCCAGAGAAAAUGCACAAGCAAAGCAAUGGCGAUUCAAUAUGGCCCGUCAGCAAGUAGCUGCGCAGCAAAACAAGUUUACAAGACAAACAAUGAUUCUAGCAGCAAUGUGCAACAAUUUUUUUGAUAUAUUGCCACUCCGUAUGUACCCUCAGCGCCCAGGCAGCGAUGAUCCUAUCAUCACGUACACAGGCGCGCAUCCUCCUGUUGGACGUAUGUAAGAAUUUGCAAAAGCUCUGUACCACUUCAUCACCGGCGCCAAUCCUACAGGAGGAUACACCAGGAUGAUCUAAUCCACCACAGACUGCUUCUAGCUUACUUAUAUGGCGUGGUUGUGUGGCUUACUUCUACUGCGUGGUUGUGUGGCUUACUUCUACAGCGUGGUUGUGUCUCUAUAUACAGUUCACCACAUAGAGUGGACUGCAUAUAGUUUGAAUAAUUAGUUUAUCUUAGAAGCGUGCCACUUCUAAAUAGUCUGUUUGUAUCCACAGAUUUGCAAGAUUUUAAUAAAUUCACAUCUCCAGUGUCUUCAA